GGGGAUGUAGCUUAGUGGUAGAGUGCUUGCCUAACAUGUGCAAGGUCCUAGGCUCCAUCCCCA
This 63-nucleotide transfer RNA is filed under the name Marmota marmota marmota (Alpine marmot). It matches the Rfam family "tRNA". Rfam says of the family: Transfer RNA (tRNA) molecules are approximately 80 nucleotides in length. Their secondary structure includes four short double-helical elements and three loops (D, anti-codon, and T loops). Further hydrogen bonds mediate the characteristic L-shaped molecular structure. tRNAs have two regions of fundamental functional importance: the anti-codon, which is responsible for specific mRNA codon recognition, and the 3' end, to which the tRNAs corresponding amino acid is attached (by aminoacyl-tRNA synthetases). tRNAs cope with the degeneracy of the genetic code in two manners: having more than one tRNA (with a specific anti-codon) for a particular amino acid; and 'wobble' base-pairing, i.e. permitting non-standard base-pairing at the 3rd anti-codon position. RNAcentral also lists the same sequence under 3 other names. The record is from Rfam by way of RNAcentral. Lineage: Eukaryota; Metazoa; Chordata; Mammalia; Rodentia; Sciuridae.